RNAcentral lists this ribosomal RNA (429 nucleotides) under Bacteroidota bacterium. RNAcentral describes it as "Bacteroidetes bacterium partial 16S ribosomal RNA". It matches the Rfam family "Bacterial small subunit ribosomal RNA", at positions 355 to 776 of the family's 1533-position model. The record is from RNAcentral. Lineage: Bacteria; Pseudomonadati; Bacteroidota.
UAGGGAAUCUUCCGCAAUGGACGCAAGUCUGACGGAGCAACGCCGCGUGAGUGAAGAAGGAUUUCGGUUCGUAAAACUCUGUUGUUAGAGAAGAACAGCGCAUAGAGUAACUGUUAUGCGUGUGACGGUAUCUAACCAGAAAGCCACGGCUAACUACGUGCCAGCAGCCGCGGUAAUACGUAGGUGGCAAGCGUUGUCCGGAUUUAUUGGGCGUAAAGCGAGCGCAGGCGGUCAAUUAAGUCUGAUGUGAAGGCCCCCGGCUCAACCGGGGAGGGUCAUUGGAAACUGGUUGACUUGAGUGCAGAAGAGGAGAGUGGAAUUCCAUGUGUAGCGGUGAAAUGCGUAGAUAUAUGGAGGGACACCAGUGGCGAAGGCGACUCUCUGGUCUGUAACUGACGCUGAGGUUCGAAAGCGUGGGUAGCAAACAGG